Molecule: ribosomal RNA, 707 nt
Filed under: uncultured Serratia sp.
Lineage: Bacteria; Pseudomonadati; Pseudomonadota; Gammaproteobacteria; Enterobacterales; Yersiniaceae
Description: bacterial SSU rRNA
Rfam family: Bacterial small subunit ribosomal RNA
Source: RNAcentral
UCCACGCUGUAAACGAUGUCGAUUUGGAGGUUGUGCCCUGAGGCGUGGCUUCCGGAGCUAACGCGUUAAAUCGACCGCCUGGGGAGUACGGCCGCAAGGUUAAAACUCAAAUGAAUUGACGGGGGCCCGCACAAGCGGUGGAGCAUGUGGUUUAAUUCGAUGCAACGCGAAGAACCUUACCUACUCUUGACAUCCAGAGAACUUUCCAGAGAUGGAUUGGUGCCUUCGGGAACUCUGAGACAGGUGCUGCAUGGCUGUCGUCAGCCCGUGUUGUGAAAUGUUGGGUUAAGUCCCGCAACGAGCGCAACCCUUAUCCUUUGUUGCCAGCGGUUCGGCCGGGAACUCAAAGGAGACUGCCAGUGAUAAACUGGAGGAAGGUGGGGAUGACGUCAAGUCAUCAUGGCCCUUACGAGUAGGGCUACACACGUGCUACAAUGGCGUAUACAAAGAGAAGCGACCUCGCGAGAGCAAGCGGACCUCAUAAAGUACGUCGUAGUCCGGAUUGGAGUCUGCAACUCGACUCCAUGAGGUCGGAAUCGCUAGUAAUCGUAGAUCAGAAUGCUACGGUGAAUACGUUCCCGGGCCUUGUACACACCGCCCGUCACACCAUGGGAGUGGGUUGCAAAAGAAGUAGGUAGCUUAACCUUCGGGAGGGCGCUUACCACUUUGUGAUUCAUGACUGGGGUGAAGUCGUAACAAGGUAACCA